This 644-nucleotide ribosomal RNA is filed under the name Staphylococcus aureus. Its description in RNAcentral is "partial 23S ribosomal RNA". It matches the Rfam family "Bacterial large subunit ribosomal RNA", at positions 701 to 1349 of the family's 2925-position model. The record is from RNAcentral. Lineage: Bacteria; Bacillati; Bacillota; Bacilli; Caryophanales; Staphylococcaceae.
AUUUGGUCGUAGACCCGAAACCAGGUGAUCUACCCUUGGUCAGGUUGAAGUUCAGGUAACACUGAAUGGAGGACCGAACCGACUUACGUUGAAAAGUGAGCGGAUGAACUGAGGGUAGCGGAGAAAUUCCAAUCGAACCUGGAGAUAGCUGGUUCUCUCCGAAAUAGCUUUAGGGCUAGCCUCAAGUGAUGAUUAUUGGAGGUAGAGCACUGUUUGGACGAGGGGCCCCUCUCGGGUUACCGAAUUCAGACAAACUCCGAAUGCCAAUUAAUUUAACUUGGGAGUCAGAACAUGGGUGAUAAGGUCCGUGUUCGAAAGGGAAACAGCCCAGACCACCAGCUAAGGUCCCAAAAUAUAUGUUAAGUGGAAAAGGAUGUGGCGUUGCCCAGACAACUAGGAUGUUGGCUUAGAAGCAGCCAUCAUUUAAAGAGUGCGUAAUAGCUCACUAGUCGAGUGACACUGCGCCGAAAAUGUACCGGGGCUAAACAUAUUACCGAAGCUGUGGAUUGUCCUUUGGACAAUGGUAGGAGAGCGUUCUAAGGGCGUUGAAGCAUGAUCGUAAGGACAUGUGGAGCGCUUAGAAGUGAGAAUGCCGGUGUGAGUAGCGAAAGACGGGUGAGAAUCCCGUCCACCGAUUGACUAAG